AUGGGGAGCGGCACUGGCGCCGGGGCCGCGGGCGCAGCGGGCGAGGCGGGGGUGAACCUCAGCGCGGUGAGGGAGAGCACAGACGUUCUGAUUGAGAUUUCAAAGAUUUUGAAUGCUGUCUUAGAUAUGGAAACUCUGUCUAUUUGUGUACGACUUUGUGAACAAGGCAUUAACCCAGAAGCUUUAUCGUCGGUCACUAAGGAGCUUGAAAGGCUACUGAAGCACUAAAGGCUGCUGAAAAUACGACAAGCUGACUUUCUGGAGAAAUCUUGAUGAGAUAUGUCAAGCUCUGCAAGAAGAUUUGAAGAUUGCA
This is an RNA transcript of Heterocephalus glaber (naked mole-rat), 313 nucleotides long. It is a transcript of the gene named mitotic-spindle organizing protein 1, with no coding region annotated. Lineage: Eukaryota; Metazoa; Chordata; Mammalia; Rodentia; Bathyergidae. The record is from RefSeq and is a predicted model, not a curated record.